GUGUGAACGUAGCCAAAGUGUAGAUACAUUUUGGCAGGAGGAAAGUAGUGAUGUGUUUUUUGGAAGGAAUGUGAACAGAGGAAGAAAUCGUGGUCAUUGAAAAGGAAAUUUUAAAGGAAGUUUUAGAAGAAGGUUUAGAGGAAGUAGCAAGAGAGGGUCAGAGCAAGUUGAUGAUGGAUGUUGGAUUUGUAGACAGAGAGAUCAUUGGGAGAGAGAUUGUCCUGAAAGGAAGAAAUUAGAUUGAUUAGAUGGUAAAAGAAAUGAAAAGAUAAAAGAUGAAUCAGAACUACAAAUUCAACCAAUUAGUGAUGAAUUUUUAGAUCUCACUGAAAGAGAAAUAGUUUUUGUUGAUGGGUCAGCAAAGAAAGAUGACACAGGCAGAAACAAAGUGAGUUUUGCUGUUGUAACUCAAGAUAAGGUUCUGAAGGCAGGACCCCUGUGUGGAAAUUACUCAGCACAAUCAGCAGAGUUGACAGCCUUAACUGAAGCAUGCAAACUGUUUAAAGAUAAUCCAGUUACAAUCUACACUGAUAGCCAAUAUGCGUUUGCUACAGUGCAUUUUUUUUGUCAACAGUGGAAGAACUGAGGGUUUAAAACAUCAACAGGAAAACCAGUAACGCAUGUAGACUUACUGAAAGAAUUAUUCCCUGCUGUAAUGUUACCAUCUAAAGUGGCAAUAUGUAAAUGUGAGACACACACACGAAGAACAGAUCAUAAUUCUAAAGCUAAUUCCUUUGCAGAUGCAACAGAAAAGCAAGCUGCAACAAAAGAUGUAGAAAUAUGCACAAAUGAGGAUGUGACUGCAGAUGCAACCGCUGAUGUUUUAAAAGAAAUGCAACACAGCGCACUACAACAAGAAAAAGAUUUGUGUUUCAGAAAGGGAGCAAAGUUAGAACAAGGUUUUUAUGUCAGCACAGAAGGUAAACCUAUUUUACCAAAAUCCAUGUACAAAUGGGCAGCAAUUUUGAGUCAUGGGCUUUGCCAUGAUUCAACAGGGGGGAGGAUGAAUUUAUUAGAGAAAUAUUAUACAAGUUAGGGAUUUAUUCUCUAUUCAAAAUUUUUUUGUAAACAAUGUGUUACAUGUAUGCGUCAUAAUCCCCAAGGCAAUGUUAGACCUAAGAGAGGAAAAUUUCCUGAACCAACUUUUCCUUUCCAUACAAUCCAUAUGGAUUUUAUUGAAUUGAAUAAAAGCAAAGGAUUGAAAUAUUGUUUAGUGAUUAUUGAUGCAUUUUCCAAAUGGGUUGAAAUUUUUCCAUGUGCAACACAAGAUGCUAUUACAGUAGCUAAAGCUAUUUGUAAAAGAAUAAUCCCAACUUUUGGCAUACCACAAGUGAUAAGAAGUGAUAAUGGUACACAUUUUGUAAAUCAAGUGAUAGACAAAAUGGCUCAACAUCUUUGUAUUGAUCUAAAGAGACAUUGUAGUUAUCACCCACAGAGUGCAGGAUUAGUUGAGAGAACUAAUAGCACUAUCAAAUCAAAGUUAAAGAAAUGCAUGGAAGAGACAAACAGACAGUGGCCUGACUGCAUAGACUUAGUUCAGCUAAGCAUGCGUAUCACACGCACAGCAGGUCAACUUUUAACGCCUUUUGAAAUGUUGUAUGGACGUUCUUAUAGGUUACCAGACCUUGAUCCUACACAGCAACAUUCUCCAGAUGAUGAUGCAAAUUUAGUGGAUUAUUUGAGAAAAAUGUUUACCACUAAAGAUGUGCAAAGGACAAAUCAAGUGCCAGAUUCCUUUUUAUCUCCACAGGACACCUCACCAGUGCAGGUUGGUGACUGGGUGUUUGUGAAGGCCAUAAAAAGGAAGUGUUGGUCCAGCCCACGGGGGGAAGGGCCAUUCCAAGUCCUGCUGACUACACCAACAGCUGUAAAGAUUGCUGAAAGGAUGUCUUGGAUCCACCUGUCACACUGCAAGAAAAAGCAUCUGGGUGAGGCUAAUUCCAACUGCUAGGUGGGGAAGUCUGACUACAAAGGGAGGCAGCUGUAUAGAAGCUGCUUGUCUCAACGUCAGCGAAGCCGGGAGAUCCACCUAGUCUUAGGGAAGAAAGCACACCAGAUCUCUUUUGCACUACACGGAUCCUACACUGUUAGAGGACUUAAGGAGGUGAUGUGCUAGUAACCUCUCCCUCCCGAAGAUAGGUACAUAUCCACCAUGGCGUGUCCAACUGGGCUAAGAGACAGUUUAUUUUGUUUACUGUUCCUGCUAUUCCUGACGGGAGCCACCACAAGGAUUUGGUUCUUUUGGAAUCAUUGUCCACCUGCAAGAAGAACCACCAACGAGGAAAGACUAAACAUUUCUCGACGAUGGCUGAGUAUUGAUGAACAUGAUGUUUUGAAUAGUCCAAAAAUGAACAUAACUCACCUGUAUAUGACAAAUUCUUGGUAUAGGCAAAGCAAUUGAGCCAUGAGCCUCACCUGCGUCACAGACGUAACCUUAUUGAUGUCAAGCCACAUGAUUCCAUUUGGGGAUCAGAUGUAACUGAAGACCAUAAACACUGGAAUACUUGGGAAAAGAUGAAGGUCACAGCGUCACUGAAGCAUUACAUCAACUUGAAAAGGUUCAACAGGCAUUGCAGGAUGACAGGAAACCCCAAUCUUGGGAUUUCUUCUCCUGGUUUGCUUUUGGUUCCUGGUGGCAACUUUUGUUAAAAAUAGUGUCACCUAUUCUUAUGGUACUGAUCAUAUGUUGUGUGUUUACUACGUGCAUUUUUCCUUGUAUUCAAUCUAUGAUUUCCAGAGCAGUGAAUGGUGGAGUACAAAGUGUUCUUAUGAGUCAAGAAUACAACUUGUUAUUAAAGGGAGAACAAGAUGACUGUAAUGAUUUUGAAAUUGAAAUGACUUGAAAAA
This is a non-coding RNA of Oryzias latipes (Japanese medaka), 2847 nucleotides long. Lineage: Eukaryota; Metazoa; Chordata; Actinopteri; Beloniformes; Adrianichthyidae. The record is from RefSeq and is a predicted model, not a curated record.